Homo sapiens (human) is the source of this 1200-nucleotide long non-coding RNA. Ensembl annotates it as long intergenic non-protein coding RNA 2207. The record is from Ensembl. Lineage: Eukaryota; Metazoa; Chordata; Mammalia; Primates; Hominidae.
GGGAGUCAUCUUCACCCUCAGGCUGGUAGACUCCAGUCUCUUAGGUCAGAAUGGGAUUAGAGACCCGUUCCUGAACCAGUCACACACAGCGGGUGAAACUGCUAUGAUUGGUUUAGACUUAGAGACUGGAAUGGAUGCUGCCCAUGAAAGCAUAAAAAGUGACCAGAAACAUCAGCAAAAUUCUGAAAACAACAUCUCAUUGCUGUUUCUGUUUGGAGACGUGUAGAUGUUGACAACAAAAAUAUCCAUGAAAGUACAAGCCUCCCAGCUCCAUCACAUGUCCAAGACUCACUGGAAGUGAGGAGAACCUUUGAGGCCUAGAAGCGAAGACACAUAGAAGCAAUGUGUACCUAGACUGUUGUCCUAAAUGCCAUUUCCUACCAGGAAGGAACCAGAGUCUUUGCAGAAAUGUAUCAUUUCACAUCUGGAAAACAUCGCCCAUUUCAUCUGUUUCUUCAGUCCCCAGAUAGCAGAUGACUGGUAGGAAGAUGAGGCAAGUUUGCGGUCCAUUGUCAUGGAUAGUGGAGACAACACUGGGCCAGAAGUGGUAAGACCUGAAUCCAAGACUCAGCUCUGCCACUUGCUAAAUGGGACUUUGAAUAAACCAUUUCUCUGCACUUAAGUUCCUUACCAACAAAACGAGGGAAGUGGCCUACAUGCCUAGAUAUCAACAUUUCAUGUCACGUAGAGAUCUAGCAUCACAAGAAUCCAAGUCAUCCUCUGUUGCCUUUAAGAAAUUAGAAUUAAAGGAAUCAGAAUUGAAGUGAAUCUGACUACACUAAGCCUAUCACUUGUGACAGCCAUGGGAAGAUAUCAUUGGUUGCUGAGGAGCAGAAAUAAGCAGAGACCUAUUGUGUUAGGUUAUCAUUCAUUUCAGACAAAAAGCAGAUCAGCAAGUUUUCAUAUUGCACUAUUUUCAAUGGCUGGAGCAUCAACAUUUUACAACAAGAAAAAAAUUAAAAUUCUUCAACAUUUGGAAAAGAAGUGUUUGUAAAACUUUUCACAUCCAUUCACCAUCCGGAAAAGCAAGGUUUUACAGUGAGGCCUGAUGAUGUCUAGAGUCACCAUGCAUCUUGGAAAAUGACCUCCUAUUUAUUUCUUCUACAGGACACCAUGGUGUUCACCUUUCUACAACUUUACACUUGCUGAGGACAUAUUGUGGAAAAUUAAGAGAAAUAUAUAUGGAUGGCCAAGGCUGUA